CAGCUCGUGGAANGUUAUGUUGGGUUAAAUCCCGCAACGAGCGCCCCCUUGUCCUUAGUUGCCANCACGUAAUGGNGGGAACUCUAAGGAGACCGCCGGUGACAAACCGGAGGAAGGNGGGGAUGACGUCAAGUCAUCNUGGCCCUUACGGCCAGGGCUACACACGUACUACAAUGGNAGGGACAGAGGGCUGCAAGCCGGCGACGGUAANCCAAUCCCANAAACCCUAUCUCAGNCCGGAUUGGAGUCUGCAACUCNACUCCNUGAAGUCNGAAUCNCUAGUAAUCGCA
This 290-nucleotide ribosomal RNA is filed under the name uncultured bacterium. Its description in RNAcentral is "partial 16S ribosomal RNA". It matches the Rfam family "Bacterial small subunit ribosomal RNA", at positions 1056 to 1346 of the family's 1533-position model. The record is from RNAcentral.